Molecule: ribosomal RNA, 373 nt
Filed under: uncultured organism
Description: bacterial SSU rRNA
Rfam family: Bacterial small subunit ribosomal RNA
Source: RNAcentral
CGGGGGGGGCUAAGCGUUGUUCGGAAUUACUGGGCGUAAAGGGCUCGUAGGUGGCCAACUAAGUCAACCGUGAAAUCCCUCGGCUUAACCGGGGAACUGCGUUUGAUACUGGAUGGCUUGAGUUUGGGAGAGGGAUGCGGAAUUCCAGGUGUAGCGGUGAAAUGCGUAGAUAUCUGGAGGAACACCGGUGGCGAAGGCGGCAUCCUGGACCAAUACUGACACUGAGGAGCGAAAGCCAGGGGAGCAAACGGGAUUAGAUACCCCGGUAGUCCUGGCCCUAAACGAUGAAUGCUUGGUGUGGCGGGUAUCGAUCCCUGCCGUGCCGAAGCUAACGCAUUAAGCAUUCCGCCUGGGGAGUACGGUCGCAAGGCUG